AUGAUAACCAUGAGGUGGAAGACGAGCUGGGACCGCAGCGUCACCACCGGUGUGGCUGGAAUCUGUAUCCCACUCCUGGGCCUUCUCCCGGGUCGGGGUCUUCUCCAGGGUUGGGGUCAGAGUCAUCUCUGUGAGCUCCAUCAGGAGAAACUGAGGCAGGGUGGUGGUCAAAAAAAGGAGGAGAAGACGGUAGAGAGGGCCAGGCACGGUGGCUCAUGCCUGUCAUCCCAGCACUUUGGGAGGUUGAGGCAUGUGGAUCAUCUGAGGUCAGAGGUUCGAGACCAGCCUGGCCAACGUGGUGAAACCCCAUCUCUGCUAAAAAUGCAAAAAAUUAGCUGGGCGUGGUGGUGUACGCCUGAAAUCCCAGUGACUCGGGAGGCUGGGGCAGGAGAACGGCUUGAACCCAGGGGGCGGAGGUUGCCGUGAGCCGAGAUCGCACCACCGCACUCUAGCCUGGCUGACAGAGUGAGACUCCAUCUCAAAAGAAAAAGAAGGUAGAGAGGAGAGGCGGAAAUAGAGACAAGAGACAGAGGCAGAGAAAGAUGGAGGGAGAGAGAUGGAGGAGAGAGAGAGGAAUGUAGAAGAGAAUGAGAAGAAGACACAAAGGAGAGGGAAACAAACAGGCAGACAGACUGACAGAAACAAAGGCAGACACACAGACAGAGAAACAGAGAGAGGGAGGGAGAAAAGAGAGAAGGAAAGAGAGAGAGACACACACAGAGAGCAAGACUGACCUACAAAGAGAAAAAGACAAUCAGAGAGACACAGAUGGAGAAACAGAGACAGAUAAACAACAAACAUAAAGACCCAGGCGGGGGCCGGUCGCGGUGACUCACAUCUGUCAUCCCAGCACUUUGGGAGGCCAAGGCAGGUGGAUCACUUGAGGUCGGGAGUUCGAGACCAGCCUGACCAACCUGAAGAAACCUCGUCUCUACUAAAAUUACAAAAAUUAGCCAGGUGUGAUGGCGCACACCUGUAAUCCCACCUACUCUGGAGGCUGAGGCAGGAGAAUCACUUGAACCCAGGAGGCGGAGGCUGCAGUGAGCCGAGAUCGCACCAUUGCAUUCUAACCUGGGCAACAAGAGCAAAACUCUCUAUCAAAAACAAAACAAAACAAAAAAUCAUCCCCAGCAGGGAGAGGAGAGAGACAGAGAGGAACAGAGGCAAAGAGAGGGGAGAGAGACAAAGACACAGAGACACAGAGAAAGACACAGACAGAAAAAGAGAGAGAGAGAGGGAGAAGGAGACAUAGAGACAGGGACAAAGAGAAAAGACAGAGAAACAGAGAGACAUAGGUGGACACGGACAGGGGAGAGAGAGAGAGAGACAGAGACAGAGACCAAGGGAUGAGAGUGGAAGAGAGACAGAUAGAGGAAAAAGACAGAGAGGGAGGCAGAGAAAAGAGACACAGAGAGACCGAGAGAGACAGGGAAGACAGAGGAGUCGGACUUAGUCUCAGCGAGAGCCCAGAGAGGGUGAACAAGGGCGAGAAACCAUGUGACCUCCACCCUGAGACCCCAGUGGCGCUCCUCUCCCACCCACCUCUCUCCGGCUCAGGGACUGCGUCUUAUGUUGCAGUAGGCUGGCAGGCUGGAAAGUCAGGCCAGGGCUGAUGCUCAUCCCAGAGGCAGAACCGUCCUGCAUUCUCAGAGUGGGAGAUGAAAUUUUUAAAAAGGAAAUAAAACUCUUGUACGGGGAACCUCAGCUUUUAUCCUUUAGACCUUUGACUGAUUAGAUGAGGCCCACUCUUCUCCUUUACACCUUCAGCUGAUUAAAUGAGGCCCACUCUUCCCCCUUUAGACCUUCGACGGAUUAGAUGAGGCCCACCCUUCCCCCUUUAGACCUUCGACUGAUUAGAUGCGGCCCACCCUUCCCCUAUAUACCUUCCACGGAUUAGCUGAGGCCCACCCUUCCCUAUAUACCUUCCACUGAUUAGAUGAGGCCCACCCUUCCCCCUUUAGACUUUUGACUGAUCAGAUGAGGCCCACCCUUCCCCCUUUAGAUCUUGGAUGGAUUCGAUGAGACCCACCCUUCCCCUUUGGACCUUCAGCUGAUUAGAUGAAGCCCAGCCUUCCCCUUUAGGCCUUCAACUCAUGAAUUAGAUAAAGCCCACUCUUCCUCUUUACACUUUCAACUGAUUAGACGAGGCCCACUCUACCCAUUUACACCUUUGACUGAUUAGAUGAAACCCGCCAUUCCCCUUUAGACCUUCGACUGAUUAGAUAAGGCCCACCCUUCCCCUUUAGACCUUCAGCUUAUUAGAUAAGGCCCACCCUUACCCUUUAGACUUUCAACUGAUUAAAUGAGGCCCACUUUCCCCGUUUAGACCUUUGACUGAUUAGAUGAAGCCCACCUUUCCCUUUUAGGACCUUUGACUGAUUAGAUGAGGCCUACCCUUCUCCCUUUAGACCUUUGACUGAUUAGAUGGGACCCACCCUUCCCAUUUAGACCUUCAACUCAUUACAUGAAGCCCACCCUUCCCCGCUUCCCCUUUAGACAUCCGGCUUAUUAAUUAGACAAGGCCCACCCCCUUUAGACCUUCGACUGAUUAGAUGAGGCCGACCCUUCCCUAUAUGCCUUCCACUGAUUAGAUGAGGCCCACCCUUCCCCUAUAGACCUUCCACUGAUUAGAUGAGGCAGCUUAUUAAUUACACAAAGCCCACCACCUUCAGACCUUCAACUGAUUAGAUGAGGCCCACCCCCUUUAGACCUUUGACUGAUUAGAUAAGGCCCACCCACAUUCUCCAGUCCAAUUUCUUUUCCUGGAAAUCAGCUGAUUGUGGACUUGACAGCUACAAAGCCCCUUCGUACCAGCCGCUGAGUCAUGGUUCGAUUCAAUAACUGGGGACUGUAGCCUAGUCACGGGGACACGUCAGUGGUGCCGGGUAUCAGAGACGAAGGCCAAGAGAUGAAAGAGAAACAGAGACUGAACCCAAAAGAGGCAGACACACAGGAAGAUGGAGAUAGAGACCCAGAGAUGGGGGUGGAAGAAGGUGAGAGGGGGAGGAAAGAGAGACAGAGAGGGAGACAGAAAAGAGGCAGAGAGACCAAGAGAGAGGCUGAACAGCAAGACCCCAGAGAGGGUGACUAAGGGUGAGAGACUUGCGUGACCCACAUCCCAAGACCCCGUGGGUGGCCCUCUCCCACUCAACUCUCUCCAGCUCAGGGGCUGUGUCUUCCUCCCAUGGGGAACUCCAGUUCGAGCCCAGGGUUGCCCCCACCGCCCUCUUCCCUGCCACAUAGGUAACAUCCUCCUGGUUGCCACUUGCACACCCCCAUCCUAGACCCGGCCAUCUGUCAUUCCGUUACCUUCCACCCCAACGCCAGCCUCCUCCCCGGCCCCCGCUUUCCACUGACCCCCAGGGGUCCCCCACAUCGAGGUGCCAGGAUGAUGGCUUCAGGCUUCAACCUUCCCUUCUCUGAGCUCCGUCAGCUCCAGGGGCUUAGCACCUGCUGUACCCUGCCCUGGUUUCAUGCUCACAAGCUCUUCCAAAGACCACCCUGUUCAUCGUCAACUAUGAGGUCCCAUGGGUGGAUCUGUCUCAGAUCUUUACCCCAGGAAAAAUUCCUGGCCAGGUGCAGUGGCUCACGCCUGUCAUCCCAGCUUUUUGGGAGGCCGAGGCGAGUGGAUCACCUCGAUGUCAGGAGUUUGAGACCAGCCUGGCCAACAUGGUAAAACCCCAUCUCCACUGAAAGUACAAAAUUUAGCUGGUGGCGGCUAAAGGGGGAAGGGUGGGCCUCAUCUAAUCAGUCGAAGGUAUAUAGGGGAAGGUUGGGCCU
This 3780-nucleotide long non-coding RNA is filed under the name Pan paniscus (pygmy chimpanzee). RNAcentral's name for it is "lncRNA (ENSPPAG00000045279.1)". Lineage: Eukaryota; Metazoa; Chordata; Mammalia; Primates; Hominidae. The record is from RNAcentral.